This 246-nucleotide unclassified non-coding RNA is filed under the name Hevea brasiliensis (rubber tree). Lineage: Eukaryota; Viridiplantae; Streptophyta; Magnoliopsida; Malpighiales; Euphorbiaceae. The record is from RNAcentral.
UGGAAAUUCAUCAGCCAGUGAACUCUGGGACUGGCGUCCAGACGUGCAGGCUGGAAGCUCAGAUGGGAUGCGAUCAUGGGUUCUACUUACAGGCUGGAAGACAUCAAAGUUUUGAAACUCGUUUAGUAUAGAAGGAUGAUCCCGAGAUAUACUCCUGCUAUUCCUCUGGGAACUCUGCCAUUGAACUCCAUUUUGCACGGUAUCGUGACUUAGUCCAUAUGAAUAACUUGGUCUGAUACGACUAGG